Molecule: ribosomal RNA, 548 nt
Filed under: Fasciola gigantica
Lineage: Eukaryota; Metazoa; Platyhelminthes; Trematoda; Plagiorchiida; Fasciolidae
Description: eukaryotic LSU rRNA
Rfam family: 5.8S ribosomal RNA (bases 1-143)
Source: RNAcentral
GGUGGAUCACUGGGCUCGUGUGUCGAUGAAGAGCGCAGCCAACUGUGUGAAUUAAUGCAAACUGCAUACUGCUUUGAACAUCGACAUCUUGAACGCAUAUUGCGGCCAUGGGUUAGCCUGUGGCCACGCCUGUCCGAGGGUCGGCUUAUAAACUAUCACGACGCCCAAAAAGUCGUGGCUUGGGUUUUGCCAGCUGGCGUGAUCUCCUCUAUGAGUAAUCAUGUGAGGUGCCAGAUCUAUGGCGUUUCCCUAAUGUAUCCGGAUGCACCCUUGUCUUGGCAGAAAGCCGUGGUGAGGUGCAGUGGCGGAAUCGUGGUUUAAUAAUCGGGUUGGUACUCAGUUGUCAGUGUGUUCGGCGAUCCCCUAGUCGGCACACAUGAUUUCUGGGAUAAUUCCAUACCAGGCACGUUCCGUUACUGUUACUUUGUCAUUGGUUUGAUGCUGAACUUGGUCAUGUGUCUGAUGCUAUUUCAUAUAACGACGGUACCCUUCGUGGUCUGUCUUCCUGACCUCGGUUCAGACGUGAUUACCCGCUGAAUUUAAGCAUA